This 497-nucleotide ribosomal RNA is filed under the name uncultured bacterium. RNAcentral's name for it is "partial 16S ribosomal RNA". It matches the Rfam family "Bacterial small subunit ribosomal RNA", at positions 28 to 507 of the family's 1533-position model. The record is from RNAcentral.
GAUGAACGCUGGCGGCGUGCCUAAUACAUGCAAGUCGAGCGAACAGACGAGGAGCUUGCUCCUCUGACGUUAGCGGCGGACGGGUGAGUAACACGUGGAUAACCUACCUAUAAGACUGGGAUAACUUCGGGAAACCGGAGCUAAUACCGGAUCAUAUAUUGAACCGCAUGGUUCAAUAGUGAAAGACGGUUUUGCUGUCACUUAUAGAUGGAUCCGCGCCGCAUUAGCUAGUUGGUAAGGUAACGGCCUACCAAGGCAACGAUGCGUAGCCGACCUGAGAGGGUGAUCGGCCACACUGGAACUGAGACACGGUCCAGACUCCUACGGGAGGCAGCAGUAGGGAAUCUUCCGCAAUGGGCGAAAGCCUGACGGAGCAACGCCGCGUGAGUGAUGAAGGUCUUCGGAUCGUAAAACUCUGUUAUUAGGGAAGAACAAAUGUGUAAGUAACUAUGCACGUCUUGACGGUACCUAAUCAGAAAGCCACGGCUAACUACGUG